RNAcentral lists this unclassified non-coding RNA (151 nucleotides) under soil metagenome. RNAcentral's name for it is "partial internal transcribed spacer 1". The record is from RNAcentral.
ACGAGUUAGGGCCUCCGUGCCCGACCUCCAACCCUCUUGUAUCACAAAACCUCGUUGCCUCGGGGGUGGCCCUGCCUCGCGGCGGGCCCCCCGGAGGACCACUCAAACACUGCAUUUUAGUGUCGUCUGAGUUAGAUUUUAAAUGAAAUCA